RNAcentral lists this unclassified non-coding RNA (243 nucleotides) under uncultured fungus. RNAcentral describes it as "sequence contains ITS2". Lineage: Eukaryota; Fungi. The record is from RNAcentral.
AACGCACAUUGCGCCCGCCGGUAUUCUAGCGGGCAUGCCUGUUCGAGCGUCAUUUCAACCCUCAAGCGCUGCUUGGUGUUGGGGUUCUACAACGGAUAGGCCCUGAAAAUUAGUGGCAGGCUCGCCAGUACCCCGAGCGUAGUAAAAUUCUCGCCCAGGGCGUACAGCGGGGUUUGGCCGUUAAACAGUACCCAUAAUCGAAAAGUUGACCUCGGAUCAGGUAGGAAUACCCGCUGAACUUAA